AUACGGAGGACGCGAGCGUUAUCCGGAUUCAUUGGGUUUAAAGGGUGCGCAGGCGGCCGUGCAAGUCAGCGGUGAAAGCCCGGGGCUCAACCCCGGAAGUGCCGUUGAUACUGCAUGGCUGGAAUGCGGUCGAGGCGGGCGGAACGUGGCGGGUAGCGGGGAAAUGCGUAGAUAUGCCACAGAACGCCGAUAGCGGAGGCAGCUCGCCAGGCCUGCAUGGACGCUCGGGCACGAAAGCGUGGGGAUCGAACAGGAUUAGAUACCCUGGUAGUCCACGCCGUAAACGGUGGGCGCUCGUCGUCGGCGGCAGACAGUCGGCGGCCAAGCGAAAGCGAUAAGCGCCCCACCUGGGGAGUACGGUCGCAAGGCUGAAACUCAAAGGAAUUGGCGGGG
Molecule: ribosomal RNA, 393 nt
Filed under: uncultured bacterium
Lineage: Bacteria
Description: partial 16S ribosomal RNA
Rfam family: Bacterial small subunit ribosomal RNA
Source: RNAcentral